Molecule: long non-coding RNA, 381 nt
Filed under: Sorghum bicolor (sorghum)
Lineage: Eukaryota; Viridiplantae; Streptophyta; Magnoliopsida; Poales; Poaceae
Description: long non-coding RNA (SBIC_LNC001817)
Source: RNAcentral
GACCAGCCAGGCGCCGGUGGCCCCGACCCCUUCGUCCGGGCAGCAGGGCCAGGCGGGUGAUCAGCCCGAGCAGCUAGGCCAAUAGAGUAGUCUGUAGGAAUAGACUAGUGUCUGCCCGUCAGGGUAUUUAUUGUAAACUUUGUAUGUAAAGUUUGUAAUAAAGUUUGCUUUUUGUCAUGACCGUUGUUUUGAGCGCUGUAAGAAUAUCUGAGUGACGUGUCACCGUAUUUGUCUUGGUUGUCGCUAAGAGCAUCCAUUGCGGGAGUUUUGCCGAGUGCUGUAUGUGACAAGGUAUAGGCAAAAAAUAGAGAAUUUCAUUAUCAAAAAUUAUAAGAUACUUACAAAAGAAAGUCAUUAAGACUUUAUGGAUAGAAACGCCGC